GCCUUGUUUUAAACGGAAGCCAGAUAUCUCCAGAGGUCCUUUCCCAGCCUAAAAUUCCCCGUAAUUCAAAUUGCGCCCUCAGCUGCUUGUCUUUCUGAGAUGUGCUACAGCAUUCUGCUCUCAGUGGAGCUUCCUUCAGUUAGCGCCUUCUUGUGUAGAACUUAAUUUGUUUUACUUUCAUUUCAUUGUUAUCUCAGGUUUCACUCUUAUUUCAUCAUUACUUUUUCUUUCCUGCUUUGUAGAAGUUUCCUUUGAAAGACUUCUGAAGAAAGUCUUGCCACUUUUUUCCCCCCACUACUUUUUCUUCUGUCUUCAGCACCUUAUUUGAAUGACAUGUCAGUCUUACUUGUAAGGCCUCAGGAGCCCGCAGGAGUUACUUGGGUGCAGUGUGUGUAGCUAGAUUGUUUGCAUAUUUGUUUGUUUCCCAGGUUGUGUAUGUAGCAGUGGUAAAUCAGGACCAGUGUAUUUAUACAAAUAACCUUUGCAGCUUGAAAGAGUUUGUAGCCAUUAAAAGGACACUUGUGACUAACUUGGAGAGGAAAAAAAAAAAAAAAGUUACUUAGAUGUUAUUCCAGCUACUGCUAGGUUGCAUAGGAUGAUGGCUGAGCUCCUACUCUGUCCAUAGAAUGGUCUGGGCUGGAAGGGACCUCCAACCCCCCUGCCAUGGGCAGGGACAUCUGCCCAAAGCCCCAUCCAGCCUGUCCUUGAACACUUCCAGGGAUGGGGCAUCAACAACUUCUCUGGGCAACUUGUUCCGGUGUCUCACCACCCUCACAGUAAAGAAUUUCUUCCUAAUAGCUAAUCUAAAUCUACCCUCUUUCAGUUUAAAACCAUUUCCCCUUGUCUUAUCAUUACAGUCCCUGAUAAAAGAGUCCCUCCCCAUCUUUCCUGUAGGCCCCCUUUAGGUACUGGAAGACCUUACAAGGUCUCCCCAGAGUCUUCCCUUCUCCAGGCUGAACAACCCCAACCCUCUCAGCCUGUUUUCAUAGAAGAGGUACUAUGAUUCUCUUCGUGGCCCUCCUCUGGAUUCGCUCCAACAGGUCCAUGUCCUUCUUGUGCUGAGUGAGGUCUCCAGAGCUGGAUGCAGUACUCCGGGUGGGGUCUCAUGAGAGCAGAGUAGAGGGGCAGAAUCACCUCCCUUGACCUGCUGGCCACACUUCUAAUGAUGCAGCCCAGAACAUGGCUGGCUUUUUGGGCUGCGAGUGCACACUGCCGGCGUGAUGACACAAAUAUCCUGACUCCCUUGCGCUCUUCAUGAACUCUGCGAGUUUUGAGGCCUUUGUCCCUUUCAGACGUGACUGAAAUUAGUCGCAGGAUUCACAGGCCGGGGCUGAGGCAGGGGAGGAGCACCAGGCCUCCCUCGCCGGCCGUCUCGGUAGAGAAGCUGCACAGCGCCAGCUCCCGGCCCCGCCGCAUACGGAACACCUCCCUUCCCCGCACGGCGAGAGUCCGCAGACGGCUCAGACACCCAGCCUGAAGCACACGCAAAAACAACACGGCUGCGCCAACGCGCCCCCAGUCCCAUCUCGGGGUUACCGGUGCCGCACAGAAGGCGCCGGGCCGGCCGGAAGCGGCGCAAUCGCCUCAGGCAGCGCCGCGGGAACGCCCCCAACGGCCGCACUGGGCUCGCGGGACCUGCGGCGGGCGGGGUUUCGGCUGGCCAAUACAGGGCCGAGGCCGGCGCGGUACGCGCGGGGCUCGGCCGCUGCGGCGUUUAUGGCCGGUGGGGCGGCCGCGUGCCCAUCGCCGCUGACGCGAGCUGCGGGCGCCGGGGGUGUCGGCGCGGCCGCUUCCCGGGACCACGCGGCCUGGGCAGAGCCUCUGCCGCUUCCCGCCGCAGUGCCCUGCCCUGCCCUCCGACUGGGCGGGGCCGCGCUCCCCGGGCCGGGCUGGGCCCCCGCGGCCCCGAGGAGGGGUCCGGCGCUCCGCGCCCGCUGAGGGGCGGCUGGCGGGGAGCGUUCCGGCCGCUGUUGCGUUGUCUGAGGGGAGGCGGGCGGCUGGGCGACCCGCGCUGUCUGUGGGCCCCGGGCCGGCGGGCAGAGCAGGCGCCGUGCACUGAAUAAGCCCAACACGGCUAGGGACCCAUGUGGGACCGGGGUCGCUGCUGACUUACUGCCGGGGCCUGGAGUACAGUUUUGAGGUGCUUAUUGUCCUUAUGAUGCAAAAAAAGUCGGACCGUAUUUGGUGUUUCUUGUACCCAGUGCAGGGCUGCAGCAGUCAUGGAUGCUACUCGACCUUUUGGAAAAAUACCAUUUUAGGAUGGAUUGAUAGUACAGCUGGAAACACUGGUAGUAGUAGUUAGAAAAUGCCAAAAGUGCUUACAACAACUACGGCACAAAGAAAUGUGUGACAAAGUGCUUAGAACAACUACGGCACAAAGAGAUAUGUGUAAGAAUGGGAUUCUGUGUGUGUUAUGUGUCCUUCAGCAAAAGGAAAGCUGCUCAAUUACUUUUAGUUGCUGCGUAAGAGAUGAAAAUAUUUUUCUAAAUUCUUUAGCUACUCAGUGUAAAUACAGUUACUGCAGAGGCUUGUUGCUUCGUUCUCAUGACACUUCAGUGCUUGGUUAAAACAUCCCAUGUUUAAAUAUAGAAAGCUUCCUUGGUAAUGGAGUCAAAAGUAUAUUGAGAGCAGCCCUGAGGAGAAGGACUUGGGGAUGUUGGAGGGAGAAAUAGAUGCCGAAAAACUGCAGAGAUAUCUAAUAACAGUCUGGAAUCAGUGGUGCUGUUAUUUUAAGACACUGAGUGUUUUGCUAUGGCAGCCAGCGGGUAUAGCUCAGUGUUGAAGAGAGGUUACCACCACUGCCUUGCCUUCUAAGGUGCAGACUUGAGAAGACUAGAUUUUUAUGCCUAAUCUAAUUCUGUCACCCUUCGAAAUUAAAUGAUGAUAUUAAGGAGGCUACUCCAAGAUAGUAAGAGUGGCUUCAUUCAUGUUAAGCUCAUCACCAGCAGUAUGAGCAUUAGAAAUCAGAGCUUCCAUUAAACUUUCACAGUUUCUCGAAAAUUAAGAUAAAGUUCUCGCCUUGCACCGUGGCAUUCUGAGUGCUCAGCUGUUGGAGGAAGAGGAUCACCAACCUCUCAAAAUUCAUGUUUAGACGAACUGCUGCGAAUGGAAGCUGUUGUAGAGUUGUAAUCUUCCUGCCUGAUAGGACAUGCGCUUUGAAUGAAUACUUCGAUUUUUAAGUGCGCAUACACAGCAAUGAGUACCUUUUGCAUUUUAGUGUAUGUAGAAGCAUGGCUUUUUUUUAUCUGUACAUGUAUAAUUCCAGACAAGUAAACUUCUGUGUUAAACUCAAGAGCUUAAUGAAAAGCUUAUGAUUAUACAUAAUAGGCCAUGUCUUAUAAAUGGGUAGCUGGCUUACACAAAGAAAACAUGAGAUACCUACCCUAAAUGCUUUAUGCACUUCUUUCAUUAGUAGUGGCAUACUGUCUCAGAUGGCUCACACUGAAAAAUUCUGCUGGUUUGGAGAAACUAGAUCUGUGGACUCCUUUAAAAAACCAAAAUGUUCUAGAUAAAACUUUCUACUGCUCUAGCUUGUUGGAAUGCAGUGGUGGUUUUGUGAGGCAAGCUCGGAUAUUCCUAUUUGAAUGCAGCUGGAAUGGCCUUCAACUGACUGUACUUUAAUCCCCCCUAAGGCUUUUACCCAAGGAGAUCUGUCAAUGUGGUAGGGUUUGGGGUUUUUUUUGCUUGUUUGUUUUUUGUUCUGUUUGGUUUUUGUUUGUUUGUUUUUAAAAGCUCAGCUUAUUUUAAAAGCUUUCAAUGGCUUUUCAUCUGGAUCAGUAGAAUCACUUGCUGAAUAAGUCUUCCAUGUUGAACCCUUUCCAUGAUUCACUCUAAAUUCUGUAAAAUAAAAUCAUUCAAGCAACAGAACUGUCUGGCUUGAAGAUGGAUAUUUAGGCAGUUUAGCUAUUUAGACAAUUUUCACAAUUUUGUGAAAAUUUGGGCCUGAAUGGAUAGCAAUUGUCAGAUUUAUUACCCAGAUUUUGUAACUAGAAGUUACCGUAGAUUUUUUUUAAUUCCUCAGUUGGUGAAGUUAGGGCAUGUAGACAUGGAUAGAACUUCCAGUUCUGCUUGAGGGAUGGCGGUCAAUAUGAUACAUGGAGAUGGCUGUGUGCUAGGAUUUUCUGAAAAGGUCUGAUUUAUUGUGUCUGUUCUGUGAACUUCAAGCCAGUGAGUGGUGUCCUGUGUAAUCCUGUGCUUUUACAUUUAUUCCCACGGUGGUGUGAGUAUACUAAAUAUAAUUACAUUUUUUUUGCUCAGUGUUUUUGAUACAGAGAUAUAUUCAAUCUUUUGGGAUCCCUGUUAGUGGUGUUUGCAUUGUAGUAACUGAAUUCAAGUCAGUCACAAAUGAAAUGUUCACAUCCCGUUGUUUUUGACCGAAAUAAGUGCAUUGCAUUUAUUUGUGCAUAUUUAGAUUUCUUGCAAAUAAGUCUUCAUGGUGAUAUAAACUACUGAAUAUAUGUGCAGUGUAGAAGUGCUUUUAUUUGUACAGUAAACAGUCUUCCAGGAGAUCUUUGCUGAAAGCAAAAUAAUAAUUUACAUGAAUUGCAUUGGUACAAAAACCUGUUAUACAAAGAGGAUUUGCUACAGCUCAUAGUUGUGAAGUGUUUAUUUAGAUUAAAUUUGCAAAACUUUCUUUGUAUUUCCAA
Long non-coding RNA from Chroicocephalus ridibundus (black-headed gull), 4646 nucleotides. RefSeq lists it as uncharacterized. NCBI's taxonomy places the organism in Eukaryota, Metazoa, Chordata, Aves, Charadriiformes, Laridae. The record is from RefSeq and is a predicted model, not a curated record. The transcript has 5 exons.